GCGGAUGUGGUGUAAUGGUAACAUACUAGGCUCAUAACCUAGAGUAGUCGUUCGAAUCGAACAUCCGCA
This 69-nucleotide transfer RNA is filed under the name Bacteriophage sp. RNAcentral's name for it is "tRNA-Met". It matches the Rfam family "tRNA". From Rfam's summary of the family: Transfer RNA (tRNA) molecules are approximately 80 nucleotides in length. The record is from RNAcentral. RNAcentral also lists the same sequence under 2 other names.